This 253-nucleotide ribosomal RNA is filed under the name uncultured bacterium. Its description in RNAcentral is "partial 16S ribosomal RNA". It matches the Rfam family "Bacterial small subunit ribosomal RNA", at positions 524 to 776 of the family's 1533-position model. The record is from RNAcentral.
UACGAAGGGGGCUAGCGUUGUUCGGAAUUACUGGGCGUAAAGCGCACGUAGGCGGACUACUAAGUCAGGGGUGAAAUCCCGGGGCUCAACCCCGGAACUGCCUUUGAUACUGAUAGUCUCGAGUCCGGAAGAGGUGAGUGGAAUUCCGAGUAUAGAGGUGAAAUUCGUAGAUAUUCGGAGGAACACCAGUGGCGAAGGCGGCUCACUGGUCCGGUACUGACGCUGAGGUGCGAAAGCGUGGGGAGCAAACAGG